This 253-nucleotide ribosomal RNA is filed under the name uncultured bacterium. Its description in RNAcentral is "partial 16S ribosomal RNA". It matches the Rfam family "Bacterial small subunit ribosomal RNA", at positions 524 to 776 of the family's 1533-position model. The record is from RNAcentral.
GACAGAGGGUGCAAACGUUGUUCGGAAUUACUGGGCGUAAAGCGAGUGUAGGCGGUUUGGUAAGUCGGAUGUGAAAGCCCCGGGCUCAACCCGGGAAGUGCACUCGAUACUGCCAAGCUAGAGUAUCGGAGAGGUUGGUGGAAUUCUCGGUGUAGAGGUGAAAUUCGUAGAUAUCAGAAGGAACACCUGUGGUGUAGACGGCUUUCUGGACAACUCCUGACGCUGAGACACGAAAGCGUGGGUAGCAAACAGG